GGAUGCAAUAGUCUUGUUCUUUACUCGGAUAAUAUGGAAGUGAUUGACACAACAAAGAAUGGAGGACACUCGGCGGGAGUGGCGGCUUCAGUUUUCGAUGAUUGUUAUUCUUUGGCUUGUGAUUUUCCUCUUAUUAGAUUUGAACAUUGUAAUAAAGAAGCAAAUGAGGUGGCUCAUGAAAUUUCUAGGCUAGCAAAAUUUUCUGUAAGUAGGCAUCGAUUUGAGGAGCCUAUGAAUGAUAUUGUAUCUUUUCUUACUGGCGAUGUAACAAUUAUUUCUAAUUAA
This 285-nucleotide ribosomal RNA is filed under the name Triticum aestivum (bread wheat). Its description in RNAcentral is "partial small subunit ribosomal RNA". Lineage: Eukaryota; Viridiplantae; Streptophyta; Magnoliopsida; Poales; Poaceae. The record is from RNAcentral.